Long non-coding RNA from Drosophila subpulchrella, 1160 nucleotides. RefSeq lists it as uncharacterized. The transcript has 2 exons. The record is from RefSeq and is a predicted model, not a curated record. Lineage: Eukaryota; Metazoa; Arthropoda; Insecta; Diptera; Drosophilidae.
UAAGUUCAAAUUAUGAGUAUAUUUAACUUUUGUUUUGUCAAAAUACUUAUGCCGACCACUGUACAAGAGAAACUUUGUCCUAAGUGACUUCAGCAAGAAUAGGAAUUCCAAGUUUUGCAGAAAGUACACGAAAUGUCGAGUCACAAAAGCGUUGGGAAACUCUUUGUACGCUUUAGAAAACUUGCGCGGCAAUCCUUUGGGAGUUUUCCAUGCAAAGGAUCUGAAACAAUAGUGCCCGGCUAGCAGAUCACACUCACCAGGCAUUAAUCUCAGGGUUGUGGGCGGUGGCCUACGUUGGGCAGUACAACCAGCAGAACACGCACAUCCUCCACUCCAGUUCCGAGACGAGAAUCGAAACCGUAGUGUGCUUGUUAUGUGCUAAAUGAUAAAGAAAUAUGCACAAGUUGUAAAUUUAGCAAAGCUGUUUACAUUAGGACUGAAAACGAUAGUCGAAAAAUCGAUACAACACUAUCGACGACUCGUGAGUUCAGGGAGUCGUGCAGCUUGGACAAGUCAUGGAACUGGUUCCUUAAACCGGAUAACUCCCAAAUGAACCAAGGUUUAAAUUCGGAAAGUUUGAGUGGUUUUUGGGCUAAGAGAGGCUUGAAAAAUUGAAACAAGCAAGGGUGUUUAAAGGGCAAAUAUAGUUGGUCACAGACGGUUCUGGUGGAAAAAAAUAUAUAUAAGAUUAGAAGUCAAGUUCCAAAUAUUCCGUGAGGGAAAAGCCUGGAGCAGGAAAAUAUACUGACGUAAGGAGAGACGAAGACCAGCCACCAGGAGGAGAUCUACAUUUUCGACAGGAAAAUUGGCCACUCAUCCCCGGGUGGCCCCAGGUUUUUUUUAUUCGCCCCUUACAUUUGCCACAGAAUUAGCAAAAGGUUCCCGAAAGCUACAAGCGGCAAACCAAUUCAAAAAGCCGAAAAUUAAUACAACAAAAUUUGAGACUGAUGAUAUUAAUUAUGUAACCCGCCCAAAUUAAUUUAUUCCUAAUUAUAUCCAUUUAAAUUAUUUAUUUAUCUAACCUAUUUAUUUAUUGUUUAUUGUAUUUAUUUAUUUAUAUAUAUAUAUUAUGUGUUCCCUGUGAAAGUGCGGUACCGUAGGUAGGGUUAUAAAAUGUUAAAAUUUAAGAAAAAUUUGUGAAUUAUAACGUGAAAACGAAA